GUGCAUCUAUUUGACAGACCUGAGGCAGUUACUGUCUGCUUCUAAGGUUCCCAUUACAGAUGCAAGAAGAAAGUUUCCUCCAGCUUUCUGUCUGACUGUGACAGCCAAGACUGAAUAGAGGAACACAGAG
Small nucleolar RNA from Nannospalax galili (Upper Galilee mountains blind mole rat), 130 nucleotides. The record is from Ensembl. Lineage: Eukaryota; Metazoa; Chordata; Mammalia; Rodentia; Spalacidae.